GGACUCGUAGCUCAGUUGGUCAGAGCGCCUCAUUUACACUGAGGAGGUCAGAGGUUCAAGUCCUCUCGGGUCCACCC
Molecule: transfer RNA, 77 nt
Filed under: Candidatus Daviesbacteria bacterium RIFCSPHIGHO2_01_FULL_43_17
Lineage: Bacteria; Candidatus Daviesiibacteriota
Also listed under: 3 other names
Description: tRNA-Val
Rfam family: tRNA
About the family: Transfer RNA (tRNA) molecules are approximately 80 nucleotides in length.
Source: RNAcentral